Molecule: transfer RNA, 74 nt
Filed under: Candidatus Yonathbacteria bacterium
Lineage: Bacteria; Candidatus Yonathiibacteriota
Description: tRNA-Pro
Rfam family: tRNA
About the family: Transfer RNA (tRNA) molecules are approximately 80 nucleotides in length. Their secondary structure includes four short double-helical elements and three loops (D, anti-codon, and T loops). Further hydrogen bonds mediate the characteristic L-shaped molecular structure. tRNAs have two regions of fundamental functional importance: the anti-codon, which is responsible for specific mRNA codon recognition, and the 3' end, to which the tRNAs corresponding amino acid is attached (by aminoacyl-tRNA synthetases). tRNAs cope with the degeneracy of the genetic code in two manners: having more than one tRNA (with a specific anti-codon) for a particular amino acid; and 'wobble' base-pairing, i.e. permitting non-standard base-pairing at the 3rd anti-codon position.
Source: RNAcentral
CGGGCUAUCGUACAGUGGUAGUAUGCAUCCAUGGGGUGGAUGUGGCAGCGGUUCGAUUCCGCUUAGCCCGACCA